AUUGAACGCUGGCGGCAGGCCUAACACAUGCAAGUCGAACGGUAACAGGAAGCAGCUUGCUGCUUCGCUGACGAGUGGCGGACGGGUGAGUAAUGUCUGGGAAGCUGCCUGAUGGAGGGGGAUAACUACUGGAAACGGUAGCUAAUACCGCAUAAUGUCGCAAGACCAAAGAGGGGGACCUUCGGGCCUCUUGCCAUCGGAUGUGCCCAGAUGGGAUUAGCUUGUUGGUGGGGUAACGGCUCACCAAGGCGACGAUCCCUAGCUGGUCUGAGAGGAUGACCAGCCACACUGGAACUGAGACACGGCCCAGACUCCUACGGGAGGCAGCAGUGGGGAAUAUUGCACAAUGGGCGCAAGCCUGAUGCAGCCACGCCGCGUGUAUGAAGAAGGCCUUCGGGUUGUAAAGUACUUUCAGCGGGGAGGAAGGGAGUAAAGUUAAUACCUUUGCUCAUUGACGUUACCCGCAGAAGAAGCACCGGCUAACUCCGUG
Molecule: ribosomal RNA, 490 nt
Filed under: uncultured bacterium
Lineage: Bacteria
Description: partial 16S ribosomal RNA
Rfam family: Bacterial small subunit ribosomal RNA
Source: RNAcentral